RNAcentral lists this long non-coding RNA (226 nucleotides) under Elaeis guineensis (African oil palm). RNAcentral's name for it is "long non-coding RNA (EGUI_LNC066454)". Lineage: Eukaryota; Viridiplantae; Streptophyta; Magnoliopsida; Arecales; Arecaceae. The record is from RNAcentral.
UGGGGUCUUCCUUAUUGUUAGGUGGUUUGAUUUGAGUUUGAGUUUCUGACGUUGAUAAACACUUAAGUUAUUAUAGACACACAAUUCUAUUUAAUUCUCUUUAUAUGAUUGAGAAUUUGAUAUUUCUUAGUCUAUUUUGUAGAUAAUUGGAGGAUUACGCUGAUCAAGAUUCAAACUAGUUCAAAUCCAAUAAAAUACUAAAGAUCUAAUGGGUCAAGUGUAAUCG